Chelonia mydas (Green sea turtle) is the source of this 1742-nucleotide long non-coding RNA. RefSeq lists it as uncharacterized. NCBI's taxonomy places the organism in Eukaryota, Metazoa, Chordata, Testudines, Cheloniidae. The record is from RefSeq and is a predicted model, not a curated record. The transcript is spliced from 3 exons.
ACUUUGGGGGAGGUACCUGGAGGCGUGGCAAGGGCAGCAUGCGGAGCCCUGCGGCCCCCCUCCCCCAGGGGCCGUGCAGGGAUGUGGUGCCAGCUGCUUCCCGGAGCAGCGCAGUGUGGGGCCAGGGCAGGCAGGCAGGCAGGGAGCCUGCCCUGGCCCCGGUGCGCACUGCUGCCACCCCGGAGUUGCUUUAGGCUGGGAAGGAAGAAGAAUGAGAUUAUUAUUUUCUGUAUUGGGAAGUUCUCAGAUAAGAUUGUGAUGGAGCCCUUUUUAGCACCUAGACAGCUCAAGACUCAGUCCAAGAUUGGGGCCCCAUUGCGCUCUGUACAAACACAGAGUAAGAAUUUGUUCCUGCCCCAGAGAACUUAAGAGGAAGACAGCAGAAGGAGAAACGACUUACCCAAGAUCACAACAGCUGGCCUAUGGCAGAGCCAGGAGGAGAUCAUAGCUCUUCAGGGCCCCAGUUCAGUGCCCUAUGCACUGGGCCACAGCGCCUCUCUUACCUCCCGCAUUGGUAACAGUAGUGACCAUGCUAGUAUGGGCUCAGGCAUUUUUACCACUGUGUUGUCUAGAUUUGGUCAGAGCAGGUUAGAGCACUUGAUGGUAAAAUCCCCAUGACCUGUACACUAGUGAUGCUAUCACAAGUCGAGCUGCCCUUAGGGCAGUGCAAUAGUAAGAGGAUUACCCAUACGAGACCUCUGUGGGACUUCUCUCAUUUAUAAGCUCACGAGAAAGGAAGUGCUUACACUGUGCACUCCAGGGUAUCAUUGCAAUUAUAACAGCUGAGGAGAUCUAUCGAGGGGUAUCAGAGAAUGGACAAAGUGAUAGAGUUAAAAUAUUCAUUGCAAAUGUGAAAUAAUUUAUAUACUUAGCAAAAUCCAUCCUUUCUAUUUACUCUUUCAGGAGUAUCAUGUGUAUAAAUAGAAUUCUUGAUUCCUAUCUGGCCACUGACACCUUAUAAAAAUAGCUGAGUGUGAUACUGAGGUGUAAAUACCUUAAGCAAAGUAUUACCAAUCUGUCAUGUCCUGAUGUUGCAUUCAUUUGAAUUAACGUUCCCUAAAAAUAAGACUACAGGUUUUUAAUUGGCUACAAGGUAUUCUGUUGAUGAUAACUGAGACAUUUAUUUCAGACCUUAGAUACAAAGGCAAAAGUAUUUAUGUGUUUAUAUUAUGGUGUUGUGUCGCACUGCAGAGGGCAGUAGUUUGCAGGUCCUUGUUCCCUAUUGUGGGAUUUUGAGAGUUUACUAUAAAACUUGGUUUAACCUAAUAAAAUUUUGACCACCCUUGUGUCUUACCAUGGAAUCUGGUAUUCACAUAUCAGAGACGAGAAAACAAAAGGAAAAACCCUUGCAAAAAUUUCACCUUCUCUCACUUGCAAAUUUGAGGGCAUAGAUAAAUCACUACAGAUACUAUUUGCAUUCCACCCAGAAACAAAGCCUAUGUUCAGCAUCCUUACAUGGGCUCAGCACUGUUUUCAUUGAAUGUGUGGCGCCUUCACCCUUAUUCAGGCAAAACGCACAUUGAAGCCCCAGGUUUUGUUUCUCGCUCAUUGAAAGCUGAAGGCAUUUCCUAACAUUGUAUUAAAAAUGCUUUUGGCGAACUUCUAUAACAAGUCCUUGGUGGGAACAGGGUCAGAUGGAUCGUCAUGGUGCUGUGAUUGCUUUCACAUCCCUGCUAUAGUGUGCGAGCUUUUCGUGAGCACCUGAAAUCUGUUGUUAAUGACAUGAGUAUGAAACACUGAUC